CCUACGGGCGACAGCAGUGGGGAAUAUUGGGCAAUGGAGGAAACUCUGACCCAGCAACGCCGCGUGAAUGAUGAAGGUCUUCGGAUGGUAAAGUUCUUUUCUAAGGGAAGAAGAAAGUGACGGUACCGUAGGAAUAAGCCUCGGCUAACUCCGGGCCAGCAGCCGCGGUAAUACGUAGGAGGCGAGCGUUAGCCGGAAUGACUGGGCGUAACGGGUGCGUAGGUGGUUUGUCAAGGUAGUAGCGUAACUCCAAGGCUCACCCUUGGAACUACUACUAAAACUGUUGGACUUGUGUGCAGGAGUGGCCACCGGAAUUCCUAGUGUAGCGGUGGUAUGCGUCGAUAUUAGCAGGAACCCCAGUGGCGACGGCGGGUUGCUAGACUGUCCCUGACACUGCGGCACGACAGCGUGGGGAGCAAACAGGAUUAGAUACCCGUGUAGUC
Molecule: ribosomal RNA, 443 nt
Filed under: uncultured bacterium
Lineage: Bacteria
Description: partial 16S ribosomal RNA
Rfam family: Bacterial small subunit ribosomal RNA
Source: RNAcentral